CUCCCGGCCGCCUCGCCGCUUCCGGGUCGCUGGCGGCCGGGCCGCGCUCCUCCCCGCUCGGGCGCUGCCCUCCGCACCUGCAGACCAGGAUGCAGCUUCUCCGCCGUCGCAGCUAGUACAGUCGCGCCCCCGAGACCCGGCCCCGGCCUCACCCCUCCGGGGGUCAGGGUCCAGCUCAGACCCCACUCAGACAUUCCUCCACAGGGAUCUCUGGGAAGGGCAGCGUGCCUGGUUCCCACGGGCUUGGAAAAACCCCGCCGGACCUGGUUUAGCGGAGAGCCUUGGGCGUAACAGUUAAAGCGGGGGAUCCGAGCACUGAUGGCCUGGGUGACCCCUAGUGAGUGCUUGUGGUGCAGCAGAGGCACAGAGCACCAGCCCGGGGGCCCUGAGGCCCGCGUGGGAUGUAAUUCCAGGUGGAGGCCAUGCACGCUAGGAGCUCCUGCUGUUACCUCCUGACUGGCCUGUGCUCUGCUGCUUCACCUAAUCCCGUGGAGCGCUCACACAAACACGAGGUGGAGAAUCAUGCCCAGACCAGCGCAGGCGCAGGGUGUGUACCCUGCCCACGACGGCACGGAGGCGAGUGGCAGGGCGGGGCCACCACGCAGCCUGAAUGUCCUAGGAGCUGGAUGCAGGGCCGGGGCUCCCGCCUGCCUGGGGCACAUCACACAGCAGGUGAUCCCGUGCGCCUGGCGCCAGUUUCCACUUCUGCGCUCGCACUCAUCAAUCAGGGUCCCAAGGACAAAUCCUGGGGGAGCCCAGUGUGGAAAUCAACUGAAGACCAGCGUCUGGAGGACACUUGGUUCAGUCCACAGAUCCCGGCCAGCCCAGCUGGCAGGCGGGGUGACGGGAAGUCGGGCUGCGCAGCAGUCAGUAAGCCCAGCUCCCCGGGUCACAGCCCCUGGCCCAGGGGUGGAUGGUGGAGCCCAUGCCCCUCUCGUGGCUGAACUAGAAAGACGUUCAUCUGGGGCUGUGUCAUGGUGAGAGCACACCUAUAGCAGGAGAAACUAGGCCAACAUUGCGGCCUCAGUAGAAUUCUCAUCCGUGCUUGUGGAGGUGAAUAUUAUGUGCCCACUUGACUGAGCCCUGGGGUGCUUAGAUAUCUGGCCAAACCGUUCUGGGUGGGACGCCCGGGUGGCUCAGCAGUUGCGUGCCUGACUUCGGCUCACCGCGUGACUCCGGGAUCCCAGAUCGAGUCCCAUGUCGGGCUCCCUGCGUGGAGCCUGUUUCUCCCUCUGCCUGUGUCUCUGCCUCUCUCUCUCAUGAAUAAGUAAAUAAAAUCUUAAAACAACAACAACAACAACAAAAAAA
Long non-coding RNA from Canis lupus familiaris (dog), 1308 nucleotides. RefSeq lists it as uncharacterized. The record is from RefSeq and is a predicted model, not a curated record. The transcript has 2 exons. Lineage: Eukaryota; Metazoa; Chordata; Mammalia; Carnivora; Canidae.